AAAAAUUUAGUUAAUACAUAACAUUAACUUGUCAAGUUAAAAUAAUUAAAUUUAAUAAUUUUUG
RNAcentral lists this transfer RNA (64 nucleotides) under Curtos costipennis. Its description in RNAcentral is "tRNA-Asp". Lineage: Eukaryota; Metazoa; Arthropoda; Insecta; Coleoptera; Lampyridae. The record is from RNAcentral.